RNAcentral lists this ribosomal RNA (542 nucleotides) under Derxomyces pseudohuiaensis. Its description in RNAcentral is "LSU rRNA". It matches the Rfam family "Eukaryotic large subunit ribosomal RNA", at positions 90 to 621 of the family's 3401-position model. The record is from RNAcentral. Lineage: Eukaryota; Fungi; Basidiomycota; Tremellomycetes; Tremellales; Bulleribasidiaceae.
CGAGCGAAGCGGGAUGAGCUCAAAUUUGAAAUCUGGCGUCUUUCAGGCGUCCGAGUUGUAAUCUAUAGAAGCGUUUUCUGUGCUGGACCAUGUCCAAGUCCCUUGGAACAGGGUAUCAAAGAGGGUGACAAUCCCGUACUUGACAUGACCACCAGUGCUCUGUGAUACGUUUUCAACGAGUCGAGUUGUUUGGGAAUGCAGCUCAAAAUGGGUGGUAAAUUCCAUCUAAAGCUAAAUAUUGGCGAGAGACCGAUAGCGAACAAGUACCGUGAGGGAAAGAUGAAAAGCACUUUGGAAAGAGAGUUAAACAGUACGUGAAAUUGUUGAAAGGGAAACGAUUGAAGUCAGUCGUGUCUAUUGGUUUCAGCCGGUUCUGCCGGUGUAUUACCUUUAGACGGGUCAACAUCAGUUUUGGACGGCACAUAAGAGCGGUUUGAAUGUAUCACCUCCGGGUGUGUUAUAGCUUACUGUUGCAUAUGCUGUCCGAGACUGAGGACUGCAGCUCGCCUUUAGGCCGGGGUUCGCCCACGUUCGAGCUUAGG